Molecule: ribosomal RNA, 832 nt
Filed under: uncultured Planctomycetota bacterium
Lineage: Bacteria; Pseudomonadati; Planctomycetota
Description: bacterial SSU rRNA
Rfam family: Bacterial small subunit ribosomal RNA
Source: RNAcentral
AAUGCUGGCUGCUGUAGCAAUACAGUGGCCAGAGGAAGUGGCGAAAGGGGCAGUAAUGUAUAGGUAACCUACCCUGGGGAUGGGGAUAGCCGUUCUAACGAGCGGGUAAUACCCAGCGAUUUGGCGAGGAGGCAUCUCUUUGCCAAGAAAUGAAUUUCGCCUCGGGAGGGGCUUAUAUCGUAUUAGCUAGUUGGUGAGGUGACGGCUCACCAAGGCAAAGAUGCGUAGCGGGUGUGAGAGCACGACCCGCGCCACUGGCACUGAGACACUGGCCAGACACCUACGGGUGGCUGCAGUCGAGGAUCUUUGGCAAUGGGCGCAAGCCUGACCAGGCGACGCCGCGUGGACGAUGAAGGCCUUCGGGUUGUAAAGUCCUGUCGAGGGGGAUAAAAGCGUAAGCUUGAUUGAUCCCUGGAGGAAGGGCGGGCUAAGUUCGUGCCAGCAGCCGCGGUAAGACGAACUGCCCAAACGUUGUUCGGAAUCACUGGGCUUAAAGGGUGCGUAGGCGGCUUAUCAAGUCAGGGGUGAAAUCCGGCAGCUCAACUGUCGAAGUGCCUUUGAUACUGGUGAGCUCGAGGGAGGUAGGGGUCCGUGGAACUUCUGGUGGAGCGGUGAAAUGCGUUGAUAUCAGAAGGAACGCCGGUGGCGAAAGCGACGGACUGGAUCUUUUCUGACGCUGAGGCACGAAAGCUAGGGGAGCAAACAGGAUUAGAUACCCCGGUAGUCCUAGCCCUAAACGUUGGGUACUAGAUAGUAGACUUUCAUGGGUUUACUGUCGAAGCAAAAGUUUUAAGUACCCCGCCUGGGGAGUAUGGUCGCAAGGCUGAAACUC